GGAAUAGUCACAAUCUGUAUGGCUUCGGUAGGGAUGCACUAGCUUUGAAAGAAACGUGCAGUUUUCAGUAUGUGGAAGAAAUGUUCAUGCCAAGCCUGUGAUUUCAUAUUCCAUGUGAAAAGGACAUUGUGUUCUUCCACAGAGGCAAAACACAGAAAUUAUUGAAUAUCUUUCCUCAGGACUGUGCACAUCUCUCUAUUUUGUAAUGAGCUCAGCGCACUUCUGAGUUUGGGCUUCAUACAUCUACAAACACAAUUAUUGCAUUAGCAACUAACGUAAUAUUGCAUUAUUUCCUGUUCAGGAGCUUGAUAAGACGGUGGAACCACACUGUAGUUCCAAGCAGAGUUCACAACAUUAGUUAACAUUUCUGAAUAAUAACAAAAGUAUAUCCCCAAAACAACUCAGGCUUGUUUCAAGUGACUCAAGUACAUGUCCUGCAGCUGUGGGAUUGGAAAGCUCAAAGCUGCACAAACAACAAAUAUAUGGAGAGAUGCCUAUAAAGCAGCUUUAAAUUUGGCUGGGGCUUAGGAACGGAAGAAUCUGAGUUGCAAACCUUGGAUGAAAAGUGACUUUUUUAAAAAGACAUUUGUUAAUAAAAAGCAGCUUUCAUCCAAGCAGGGAGGGGGUGCUGAGACACUGCAUGCAUGUGGCAGCACUGCCUGGUGUGAGCCUUCUCUUUCUGCUGAAGAGGAGAGCUCAUAUUUGCACAGCAGAAACCUGUGUGGAAUUUGUCUUGUCACCUGAGUAUCACCAAGACUUUCCUCCCUUUCCUCUUCCUCUUUCUCUUUGUGUGUCUCAUGGGGACAGCAGGCUUGGGAAAGGUGCUCUCAGCUGCACGAGGUAGUGGAGGCUUCUCCAAGGGAUGUCCCUGCCUGCAGUGAAUCCCGUGGGCAGCAUGGGGCACAAAUGUGUGUUUUACCUAUGUGUUUUGCCUGCUGCCUGCCCACAGCAGCCAUUAUGGUGUGGGGCACUUGGUGACAGAGCCCCAGUGGAGAUGUGCAGUGGAGAUGGCUGAGGACGCUGCAGAGAAAGUCCAAAGGUCAUCAUUUGGUCUGACUUCCGGAGCAAUCCAGCCUUUUUUAGGCAACUGGAGCUGACAGGGAGCAGUAUCUUUUCCGAUGUCAUUUGGCCCCACCUGGGUAGGCAAUGAGUGUUCCAGCCCCGCUCGAUGCUCUCAGUGAUAAGAGAUCUGUAUGUCAUUUGUAUUUCACUGUUUCCUGCUUUUGCUCAUUUCCAGGGCCUCUUCUACCAACUGAAUGAGCAGAAGGGGAGGCUGCUGCCUGCCUCAGAGCAGGAAGGAUAUAUGAGAUUAUUCCACUGAUGGGCUAUACAUCAUCAGUGUCUAAUGGGCUUCCUGCAUGGGGAGAGGGUAAGGGUUAUGUAAAGGAGGGAAAUUGAAUUUCAUCUUGCUCUACUGUCUCUUGGAAUCAUCAGAAAAAUAGGGUUGGGACCUGGAAAGCCAUAGCUGCUUUUCAGCCUCCUGAUUCCCUUGGGAUAUUCAGUGAUUUCUCUGUGAGGGGCAGAGAGGAAGAGAUGAGGAAAUGGAGCCCUUCAAAUCUUUUGUGCACUGACUCAUUAUCAGCCAGUUUCCCAUUUAUUUUAUUUCCCUUUUCCUGUCCAGGCAACUUUUUGUGGUUCCCAUUGGUAAGCCAAGGGGCUAUGUGACAAAUUUUGCUUGGGUUCUGAUUUACACAGUGAAUAUCAAGGGUGAUGUGGAUGGCAGAAGGGGAUGGAGAGUCUUUAGCCUGUGGUAUUUUCCUAGGCUUUAUAAAUGGCUAGUUUAGCUCCAUCUCAAUAGCUGGGAAGCUAAUUUUUCCUUCCAAACUGCUGCUGUUCACACAAUAAACAUGUUCUCAGUUAUGUCAGGAAAGACACUUGAGGAAAGGAGCGUAAGAGCUCCAGGCUUUGUCUGGUUGAAACUCCAAGAAAAAAAAAUCUGGAUUUCAUUGAUUGUAUAAAGUGCCAGGUUUUGGCUGGAGGAUUCCAGACAGGUGAAAUCUCUGACCUGCCGCUAGUGGUGGAUACAGAAAGGCCUGCUUGCUUGUGUUGUCAUGGGUCAUAUGUUGGUGUUCAUAUGGGGUUACUACAGGUUUUGACAAUAAAUUCUGACUUUAGGGAACACUUAAGUGACUGGGAGGUAAGGGGUCAAACUCUCCUUCUUACCCUACUUGGUUCCUGUUGAGAGGCAAUGGAGUGGGACCACAAAUUGUAGAUGGAAAUCUGAUAUCUAAGCUUUCUUGGGAGAAUCAAUUCCCUCCACCCCCAGAUGCUGGCAGCCUGGCUGGACAGAUUUACUGUGAUUUGAGGAAAGGGACAGGGAAAGAGAUGUAAGAGAUUGCAGCCUUCCCUUUUCUUGGUCCCACAACUGAAAAACAGAGAGUCAAUAUUUCUCAUGAGAGCUUCAUGGGCUGUUUGGCUUUUGGUUUUGGGGAGGAAACAAAAAAUAUGUCUGUCUCCUAGAUACUCCUGGGUGUGUUUAAAUCGGCGGCUGUCUGUGCAUUCAAGCCCCUCUGUAUAAUGAACCCAGACAAAGUUGCUAAUGGGACUGAAUUAUAAGAAGUCCUUCUUGCUCCAGUUAGCAAGAGCUCCAGUAUGCCACCAGGGCCCUCUUGGUGCCCGUGGGUGACCUCCAGCUGGUGGAGCUGAGCACGUUCAUGGCAGUCCCCUGCGAUGGAGGGCUAAGCUCCUCUUAGGCUUGUGCUAACAAGUGAUGUUUCGCAGGCAAGAGAAAACUGCUCCCAUUUAUCAGAAAAUAGGGGUGAGUUUCCGCAGAGCAGCUGGGAAGUGUGAACUCCCUCCAAUGAACAUGGUUGUGUGAGGAAGGCCCCAGCUUUCUGCUGGCUUUGGGAGUGUGUUGGUGUGCUGUGCAGCCCUUCUCCCCCCAGCUGCUUCUCUGCCUGAUGACAAGUGCCACAGGGGUAGCUGCCCAUGAAGAAAGCUUGGUUUUGCCUCAUGCCCUCAGCCUGCUUCUCCCAAUGAAUACCAUCAGUUUGUGUGUGAAGUAUGUGACCUCCCUGGCAUGGCAUCUCAAUGUGGCAAAACAGAGCCACGCUGCCCUGUAAUGUCAGGUCUGCACGGCAGGGCCCUUCCAGGCAGCAACACAGCGGCAUGGAGAGAAGGGUUUGGUUUCAAACAAUGAUAUCAUUGACAGGCUGGAGCAGGACCAAGAUCACUCCACGUCAGUCAACAGCAGAAACAGUCUCAAGCCAUCUGUACAUUAUGGCACCGAGCCACUCUUCCUUCGCUUGGCUUCCUUGCUUGUAUUUAACCCAGCUCCCAAGGCUUUCUGGGGAACAAAUCCUGCCAAGAGCAGGCUAGUCCACCCUGAACUGGAUCUUGGGGAACGACUGAUCUUGCCGAAAGCCGGUCACUGUUGGAAAGGUGUGAGGGCCUCUCUAGAACAUCCUGAGAGCUCAUGUGUAGCUUACCCUGGCCUCAAACAGCCCCACGUGGCUGCAGCUGGGACUGAGGCUUAGCAAAGGAGAGUGCUCCCAUCCAAAACCAGCUUUUCCCCUUACUUCAUCAAUUCUUCAUGCUGAUAACUCCUCUAAUGAGGGACUGCAUGCUGCCUUUUAGGAAGAUGAUGUGUGCUAGCAAUCUGCCAGCUGCCUGACUGGAUCUCAGAAGCCUUUAAGUGAUGCUAUUUUGCAUCUAGGCUUUUGCAGCUUCAUCUUGAGCUGCUGGAGGGGUAGUCACUGAGAUGUGUAAUGUAACAAAGAAAGGAUCAAAUGGUACUGCUUUUUCCAGCAAGGAGGUGAGCUCUGUGCCCUUCUGGAGCAGUGAAGCAGGUCUCUCGGUGCUUUGCAGGGCUGAGCUCCCCUGGAAUCAGCUGUUCAGCCUGGCAGUGGUGCUGUCCUGAAACGAUGAUAGAUGAGGUUUUGGGGUAUGUGUGUCUUAUUAAUUUCUCCAGUUUUUUUCUAAGAGUGACAAGACUGGCUGAUAACUCUGAUGUACUCUGAGAUGGAAAGGCGGCUUCUUUUCUUUUUAUUUACAGCCUGGUGGAAAGCUUGAUGCUAGCUGAGGAAGAGAGUGGGGCUGAGAAUGAACUUUCAGAGGCUCAAAGUGAGAUAGCACCCCAAGAGUGUUGCAAGAACAAGAUGUUCUGUUGGUUUUCCUCUUUCCUCACUGACCUGCUCACCGCACACCGUGCAAUGCAGUGUGAGAGCCCUUCUUAGUGCUGCAAGAGUCCCCAGGCUCUCCUGCGUUAAGGCAGGGUAAGGUCUUCAAAACAGGACUGUUUCAAGCUCAGAAUAAGCAGCUGGACUUUUUAUAUGGAGCCUGCAGUAUAGGAAUGAACUAGUAGAGAGAGGCUUGAAAGUUGUAACAUGGCACUGCUCAGCCAGAUGCUUUCCAUUCAGCAGCUGCAUAAGUAACCUUAGAAAUGCAGGCAGAUCUUUCAGCCCCUUAAGCCACCCUAGAAGGUGCUAGAGCCUCAGGCUGCAGGUAGAAAGAGAUGUGCACACAGCGAGUGUUGUGUGGCAUCAUCCUGUGCCCUGAAACCUGAUGUGCUGGGCUCUGGUGCUCAGUAUGGCCCAGCUCAACACUGGGGCUGGACGGCAGCACCAUGGGCCUGGGGAGGAGUCAUAGCACUGAGGAGUUUCAUGGUCGAUGCUGGAGGAGAGAUAAAAUAGCUAUUCAUAGUGAAUGCUUUCCAAGAAUAAAGGAGUGGGAAGAAAACAUAAGCGUGCUUGUUUGGGAAUGAAGCAAAUAAGCUGUGCGAGCCUCAGCUACUGGAAAUCCAUGGGCUGGUGUCUAAUUCUGGCUUUAGUAGCACUGGGCAGAUGAACACUGGCUUACUGUCUACUCUUGAGAUGACAGUCUUACACAGACCAGAUACCUGCCAGAGCACAUUGCUCAAGGCAAUUUCCUGUGAGUUAAUGCAAUCUGUUGAUUAAACAUUUGUUUCUUGCAGCCUCAUGCUGAGCAAGCUACUGCAGUCAGGGAGAUGAAGGGAGUUACUUUCUGUGGGAUGGUGCUUUUGUGCUUAUCUUCAGUUUACAGACCUGAGAUAGCUGAACGCAGCAAUCUCUCCUUCUGAUCACUGACAGGAUCCAGUGAUGAGAAUUAACACAUCAGAAAGAAACAAAAUGAGCUUUCCUGGCGACAGUGAACUUUGAAAGUGGAGAUAAAAGCUGUUGCAUUCCCGACAUCAAAUGCUAUCAAAUGCAACAGUGGCACACAGUUUUGUCUGACACUAAGCCAUCAUACUUGUUCAGGUGUCCGAGUCUUUAGAUGCUGGAUGGGGAGGGCACUUUCAAACACUGAUAAAAGGUUGGAUUUCCUGUUGCUCUGGCCUAAUUUAAUUUGAUACCACAAGCACCCAAUCCCUUAUUUAAACAGAAAGGCUUUCAGGGUAGAUUAGACCUGACUGCCACACACCAAAACCCAAGGCA
RNAcentral lists this long non-coding RNA (5393 nucleotides) under Strigops habroptila (Kakapo). Its description in RNAcentral is "lncRNA (ENSSHBG00005009156.1)". Lineage: Eukaryota; Metazoa; Chordata; Aves; Psittaciformes; Psittacidae. The record is from RNAcentral.